Molecule: ribosomal RNA, 497 nt
Filed under: uncultured bacterium
Lineage: Bacteria
Description: partial 16S ribosomal RNA
Rfam family: Bacterial small subunit ribosomal RNA
Source: RNAcentral
GACGAACGCUGGCGGCGUGCCUAAUACAUGCAAGUUGAGCGCUGAAGGUUGGUACUUGUACCAACUGGAUGAGCAGCGAACGGGUGAGUAACGCGUGGGGAAUCUGCCUUUGAGCGGGGGACAACAUUUGGAAACGAAUGCUAAUACCGCAUAAAAACUUUAAACACAAGUUUUAUGUUUGAAAGAUGCAAUUGCAUCACUCAAAGAUGAUCCCGCGUUGUAUUAGCUAGUUGGUGAGGUAAAGGCUCACCAAGGCGAUGAUACAUAGCCGACCUGAGAGGGUGAUCGGCCACAUUGGGACUGAGACACGGCCCAAACUCCUACGGGAGGCAGCAGUAGGGAAUCUUCGGCAAUGGACGAAAGUCUGACCGAGCAACGCCGCGUGAGUGAAGAAGGUUUUCGGAUCGUAAAACUCUGUUGGUAGAGAAGAACGUCGGUGAGAGUGGAAAGCUCAUCAAGUGACGGUAACUACCCAGAAAGGGACGGCUAACUACGUG